Globicephala melas (long-finned pilot whale) is the source of this 203-nucleotide long non-coding RNA. RefSeq lists it as uncharacterized. NCBI's taxonomy places the organism in Eukaryota, Metazoa, Chordata, Mammalia, Artiodactyla, Delphinidae. The record is from RefSeq and is a predicted model, not a curated record.
CAAUCAUGAAUAGCAUACUCUCACAUUCCUCUUACGUUAUUUUCCCAGGAAUCUGUGUACCAUACCUGUGAUGUUGGGAGGCAUGAUGUUUUUGAAAAACUUAGACUACACUGAGAUAUGUGAAUUUAAAUCAGCAAUUUAAAACUAUCUGGAUACCUGACAGGAGGGAAACAGGAAAAGAGAGAGUAAAAAGAGAAUGACGU